GCAACCGUGGCCGACGUUUUUGCGGUACUUAGUCCGUGCAGGGACCGCCCUCAGGGGCUUUAUUCCUUGCAACGGCCUAUGAAUGAGGUAUUAUUAUCAUCAGCUCCAUUUGACGGUGAGGAGACUGGGGCACGGUGAGCUUACGCGACUCGCUCCGUGCCCUCCUGCAGGCAGUGGCGGAGCCCGGCUUAGGCCAGAGGCUGUGGCGUCUGCAUCCGGGAGCUCAGCCACGUGCACCUGGAACGGGGGUCUUAAUCCUGCGUGCGUCAGACUCACGUGCCAGUCCUGCAAAUACCUGCUGAGUCAGACUCCCCAGCCUCCGCAUUUGCAAUCAACCUCCGUGCCUCGGCACGGUCGGUGCUGGAACACAGGCAUUCCCCACUCUGGCUUCCUUCUCCUGACUCACUGGCUCUUCACCAAGUUCUAGGACUGGACUAUUAGGGUUGCCUCUGACCCAUUCCUGACACAUCUAUGUCACCAGCCCGCAUGUCAGGAGGAACAGGUUCUAGUUGCCUCAGGGGGAAACAGCCGUCCUGGGAUCAUCCUUCUCCACCUGUCUGAAGCUAUAUCCGGUCAUGUGACCAGUGGGAGAGAGACUGUGAGCCACGGUGGAUGUGUCACCCAACGUCUCGGUCUUUUAAGUAAACUACACCUGACAACACUGUGUUAUCCCGAGCUCCUUCAGUUUCCUGGAAACUCCCAGGAUGUUUCAGAAGGCAGAGUUCAGCUGUAACUUGGAUGGUGUUUACUUUAUCUCUCUAACACUAGGAGAACGAAUGCUCUGCCCGUCACCGUCCCUGCUGUGUCCUGAGUGCUAGAAGCCAGCCAGGAACCACGCCUAGAACACUCCAAAGGUACUAUUUUAACGCUGUUUCACAAGUCAAGAAACCAAGAUCACCUACAGAGCUUGAGGGACUCGGAGCAAAAUGAAGACGACAAAUGGAAAUUAUGAGGAAUAUCAAGAUGAUGACAGCAGAGCAUUGCACCAGGCGCAAUCACAUAGGACCCAUGAAACGGGCCCUGGAGGAAACCAAGGGCCAGAGAAGUUAAGUUACUUUCCCAAGGUCACACAGCAAGUUUUGGAGCCUCUAAAAAUCGUUUAUUUAUUGUAAACUCCCUGCAGGCAGAGGCUUUGAGGUCACUGGUGGCAUGUUCUGGUCCCGGGUCCUCAGGUCUCCACGAGUUUGAUGGCCAAGUCCCCUCUCUGAUUGUUUCUGAACGCAAGAAAACGAGAACCAAAUUAUAAAUGGAUAAGCUAAACACGAGUUUUAUUUACAGCUAUGGCAUUCAGUGCUGCAAAAGAGUUUAAGGAGCUAAACUAUUUUUUGUUUCUAUGAAAGAGACUUCAUUUUUUCUGUGAGAUUCUUUGCUGGUGAUGGGAAGAAAGGAGAGAUAAAAUCUCAGGGGCACAUCAAUGCAUUAAUCAUGGUCCUAAUCUCAUGACCUGUUAUUAUUAUUAUGCCCUUUUAGUUUAACUAUUCUUUAUUUUCAGUGCAGUAACGAUUACCUCUGAACUCACCUAAGAACUAGCUUAUUGCUGAUAAUUCAUAUCUCCUCUGGGCUCCUUACCCGUAUCAUUUUCCCAUCUCAGAUGUGAUCACUGUCCCGAAUGUCACAUGUCCCGGUUGCUAGUUUUCAGAUGUGUUACAUUUGCAUGCCUGGCUAAAUAAUGUAUUGUUUGCUUAAAAGCAAAUUCAUAGAAAGGGUAUUUUGAAAUUCAUAGAAAGGGUAUUUUAUGUCAUCUUCUGAGACUUGCUUUUUUGACUCAAGAAUAGCUGAAAAGAGUCCAUUGCCGUGUGGUUACAUAGACUGGUAUUUUAUUUAUUUUCACUAGUAUAGAACAUUCCAUUAUCUGGACAGACUAUAAUGUAGUUAUCCAUUGCCCUCUCAUGGGCAUUUAGGUUGUUUCAGAUUUUUGCUAUUAAACAGAGUGCUUCCGGGGCGCCUGGGUGGCUCAGUCGGUUGAGCGUCCGACUUUGGCUCAGGU
Long non-coding RNA from Felis catus (domestic cat), 1987 nucleotides. RefSeq lists it as uncharacterized. NCBI's taxonomy places the organism in Eukaryota, Metazoa, Chordata, Mammalia, Carnivora, Felidae. The record is from RefSeq and is a predicted model, not a curated record. The transcript has 3 exons.